This 250-nucleotide unclassified non-coding RNA is filed under the name Hevea brasiliensis (rubber tree). Lineage: Eukaryota; Viridiplantae; Streptophyta; Magnoliopsida; Malpighiales; Euphorbiaceae. The record is from RNAcentral.
AUCCAAGUACUCCAAAAAUCUGGAAUAGGACAUCCUGGAGGAAGAAACUCCUUGGUCAUCAGCGUAUGCCUUCCCACUUCCCAGUAAAGUGGGUGCAAUGAGUCCUGCAUUCCCAAGCAACUGCUUUAGAAAGCCUCUUCUUCCUUCGUUCUUUAGAAAACCUCUUCCUCCCUGCUGAUGCCUCUGGUCUAAAGAUGCUUUUAUGAGAAUUGCUUUUGAUGUCUUUCCUAAUAACUGAAAUCUUGAAGGA